UGCACAUUGCACCAGUAAGAGCAGUAAGAGUGUGAAGGUUCAAUUAGCAGGGUAAGAGCACAGUUCUGCUCUAAAUAUUGCAAUGCACACAACAUUAUGGGUGACAUACCAGAGUUCAAAAGAGGACAAAUUGUUGGUGCACGUCUUGCUGGAGCAUCUGUGACCAAGACAGCAAGUCUUUGUGAUGCAUCAAGAGCCACGGUAUCCAGGGUAAUGUCAGCAUACCACCAAGAAGGACCAACCACAUCCAACAGGAUUAACUGUGGACGCUGUAAGAGGAAGCUGUCUGAAAGGGAUGUUCGGGUGCUAACCUAGAUUGUAUCCAAAAAAACAUAAAACCAAGGCUGAUCAAAUCACGCAGAAUUCAAUGUGCACCUCAACUCUCCUGUUUCCACCAGAACUGUCCGUCACCACAAUCAAUUAUUGUGCUCUAAAACCAGGUGUUUCACUUUCAUUGUCCAACCCCUGUAUAUAUACACCAUCAAAUAUAGACUAUAUAAUCUGCGGUUUAUAUGUAAAUAAUACUGUGUUUUUGCACUUCAUUUUAAUUAAAUAAUAGAUCUAUGCUUCUUUAGUGUUGCAAUGUUAAUAAACAUAAUUCUGAACAGAUUUCGCUCAUUUAAACAUCCUGAAAAUGUUUUUUAAGCUCAGUUUUAACGCUCUACUUAAAAAAUAUCGGGUUUAAAUC
Long non-coding RNA from Astyanax mexicanus (Mexican tetra), 688 nucleotides. RefSeq lists it as uncharacterized. Lineage: Eukaryota; Metazoa; Chordata; Actinopteri; Characiformes; Acestrorhamphidae. The transcript is spliced from 3 exons. The record is from RefSeq and is a predicted model, not a curated record.